GUGGGUUGUGGCUCAGUGGUAGAGUGCUUGCCUAGCACGUGUGAGGCCCUGGGUUCGAUCCUCAGCACCACG
RNAcentral lists this transfer RNA (72 nucleotides) under Marmota monax (woodchuck). Its description in RNAcentral is "tRNA.Ala". It matches the Rfam family "tRNA". From Rfam's summary of the family: Transfer RNA (tRNA) molecules are approximately 80 nucleotides in length. Their secondary structure includes four short double-helical elements and three loops (D, anti-codon, and T loops). Lineage: Eukaryota; Metazoa; Chordata; Mammalia; Rodentia; Sciuridae. The record is from RNAcentral.